UUAAUGGAGAGUUUGAUCCUGGCUCAGGACGAACGCUGGCGGCGUGCCUAAUACAUGCAAGUCGAGCGGAGUCUUACACUUUCUUCGGAAAGUGUUUGGCUUAGCGGCGGACGGGUGAGUAACACGUAGGUAACCUGCCCAUAAGACUGGGAUAACCCACGGAAACGUGAGCUAAUACCAGAUAGGCAUCUUC
Molecule: ribosomal RNA, 193 nt
Organism: Paenibacillus sp.
Lineage: Bacteria; Bacillati; Bacillota; Bacilli; Caryophanales; Paenibacillaceae
Rfam family: Bacterial small subunit ribosomal RNA
Source: Rfam